AGUGAACGCUGGCGGUAGGCCUAACACAUGCAAGUCGAACGGCAGCACAGUAAGAGCUUGCUCUUACGGGUGGCGAGUGGCGGACGGGUGAGGAAUACAUCGGAAUCUACUUUUUCGUGGGGGAUAACGUAGGGAAACUUACGCUAAUACCGCAUACGACCUACGGGUGAAAGCAGGGGAUCUUCGGACCUUGCGCGAUUGAAUGAGCCGAUGUCGGAUUAGCUAGUUGGCGGGGUAAAGGCCCACCAAGGCGACGAUCCGUAGCUGGUCUGAGAGGAUGAGCAGCCAGACUGGAACUGAGACACGGUCCAGACUCCUACGGGAGGCAGCAGUGGGGAAUAGUGGACAAUGGGCGCAAGCCUGAUCCAGCCAUACCGCGUGGGUGAAGAAGGCCUUCGGGUUGUAAAGCCCUUUUGUUGGGAAAGAAAAGCAGCAGGUUAAUACCCCGCUGUUCUGACGGUACCCAAAGAAUAAGCACCGGCUAACUUCGUG
Molecule: ribosomal RNA, 492 nt
Filed under: uncultured bacterium
Lineage: Bacteria
Description: partial 16S ribosomal RNA
Rfam family: Bacterial small subunit ribosomal RNA
Source: RNAcentral